GUUCGUACUAGCGAGCCCACCUCCCACCCGUGUUUACUGUACCUUAGUUGCUUCGGCGGGCCCGCCAUUCGUGGCCGCCGGGGGCUCUCAGCCCCGGGCCCGCGCCCGCCGGAGACACCACGAACUCUGUCUGAUCUAGUGAAGUCUGAGUUGAUUGUAUCGCAAUCAGUUAAAACUUUCAACAAUGGAUCUCUUGGUUCCGGCAUCGAUGAAGAACGCAGCGAAAUGCGAUAACUAGUGUGAAUUGCAGAAUUCCGUGAAUCAUCGAGUCUUUGAACGCACAUUGCGCCCCCUGGUAUUCCGGGGGGCAUGCCUGUCCGAGCGUCAUUGCUGCCCAUCAAGCACGGCUUGUGUGUUGGGUCGUCGUCCCCUCUCCGGGGGGGACGGGCCCCAAAGGCAGCGGCGGCACCGCGUCCGAUCCUCGAGCGUAUGGGGCUUUGUCACCCGCUCUGUAGGCCCGGCCGGCGCUUGCCGAACGCAAAUCAAUCUUUUCCAGGUUGACCUCGGAUCAGGUAAGGGAAA
Molecule: ribosomal RNA, 522 nt
Filed under: Myrothecium sp. VITSUSM
Lineage: Eukaryota; Fungi; Ascomycota; Sordariomycetes; Hypocreales; Stachybotryaceae
Description: eukaryotic LSU rRNA
Rfam family: 5.8S ribosomal RNA (bases 174-327)
Source: RNAcentral